Molecule: ribosomal RNA, 237 nt
Filed under: Triticum aestivum (bread wheat)
Lineage: Eukaryota; Viridiplantae; Streptophyta; Magnoliopsida; Poales; Poaceae
Description: partial small subunit ribosomal RNA
Source: RNAcentral
CGGCACGCGGAGGCCGGGGAGCGGCGCUGACGCGGCCAGGAACGGCCACGGCGCGGGCGAACGUGGCCACGGCCGGCGACGAGGGCGCGAGGUGCGGCAAGUUUUAAGGCCUGGUGCUCUCGGUUACGAGCGUGCUGAUAACGUGUUUAGAGUAGAACGAGAGACAAAACAAAAUGAUUCAAGUGUCAUCUUUAUCGAUCAUGUUCAAGUAUAUAUACAAUCGCGAAGGAUGCAUCC